Molecule: ribosomal RNA, 445 nt
Filed under: uncultured bacterium
Lineage: Bacteria
Description: partial 16S ribosomal RNA
Rfam family: Bacterial small subunit ribosomal RNA
Source: RNAcentral
GUGAGGAAUAUUGGUCAAUGGGCGAGAGCCUGAACCAGCCAAGUCGCGUGAAGGAAGAAGGAUCUAUGGUUCGUAAACUUCUUUUGCAGGGGAAUAAAGUGCAGGACGUGUCCUGUUUUGUAUGUACCCUGAGAAUAAGGAUCGGCUAACUCCGUGCCAGCAGCCGCGGUAAUACGGAGGAUCCGAGCGUUAUCCGGAUUUAUUGGGUUUAAAGGGUGCGUAGGUGGUUUGAUAAGUCAGCGGUGAAAGUUUGCAGCUUAACUGUAAAAAUGCCGUUGAAACUGUCGGACUUGAGUGUAAAGGAGGUAGGCGGAAUGCGUGGUGUAGCGGUGAAAUGCAUAGAUAUCACGCAGAACUCCGAUUGCGAAGGCAGCUUACUAAGCUACAACUGACACUGAAGCACGAAAGCGUGGGGAUCAAACAGGAUUAGAAACCCCAGUAGUCC